This 3511-nucleotide long non-coding RNA is filed under the name Homo sapiens (human). Its description in RNAcentral is "non-protein coding lnc-GRHL2-19:3". The record is from RNAcentral. Lineage: Eukaryota; Metazoa; Chordata; Mammalia; Primates; Hominidae.
CUGGAGCCCCAGCCGCGCCUCCCUGGCUGCAGCUGCUGUAUUCACAGCAGCCGCUUCAGGCGGGCCGCCACGGCGAUCAGUUUUUCAUGGCCUCCAGGUUCUGAUGAAGCGUGGGAUUUUCUGCCCUGUACCCCUCAGAACAAGAAACCACCUUACUGCAGUCUGUAAGUGGCUCCUCAGUAACAGGGCACCCACAACUUUCAUGGCAUCCGCCCGUUACUUUUGUGUCUUCCCUUCUGUGUGUGGGACCAGGAACCUGUGGAGCUGGCUCUCAGCUUACUGCUCUUUCUGCUAUGUAAGCGAUCAACUGUCUGACUCUAAAAGUGACUCGUAUUUUUCCUUUUGAAUCAGACAGACCCUGAUCUGGGUUUUGCUUUGUGUUUUAUGUGUGAGCUUUAUACUCUGAAGUCGCUUUAUAUUUUAUUUUUUCAUUUAUUAACAAAUAUUUCUAUCAUAUUUCCUAUGGACCAAGCACUUUACAAAGUAUUAAUACAUUUAAUACUUGGUAUAACCCUAUAAAGUCAGUGCUAUUAUCACCCUCACUUUAAAAAUGAGGAAGCAAAGCCCUAGAGUGGUUAAGAAACUUGUCCAAGAUUACACAGCCAGUGGCAGAGUCAGAUGGGCUGCUCUGGAGUCAAGGCUCUUAACCACUGUGUUUUGCUGCCUUAUGUUAACAGAGUUUACACUUAGGGCACUUUUUCUCAGACAACACACAUCAGAAGCACCUAGAUUACCCAGUUGAAAUGCAGUUUCCUGGGUUCCAUCCGGACCUAUCCUGUGAGAAUCCUUGGUAAUGGGUCCAGAAAUUUCCAGAUACCUAGAGAUAGAACGAACACUCUGCCGCAAUGAAGCAACUGGAGGAUGAACAGACAGGAGGAGACCGGGUCCCUGGAGACCCGAGGAGCCACCAUUUAUGCAAUUUGAAAACCCUGACUCUUGUCUUUGCAGAAAAAUUCAUUCCUAUUUGGUUAAGCCACUGCAGCUGGGUUUUUCUUACAUAAAGCUGACUGUAUUCCUAAAAGACACAGAGGAUCUCUUUAAAUAGGAGUAAUAUAUUUACUUAUAAUAAUUUGAUUUUCUGAAAUAGCACUGUAGAAAUAUAAUGUAGUCCACAUAUGUAACACUUUCUAAUAGCUACAUUUUAAAAUGGCAAAAAGAGGUAAAAUUAUUUUAAUAUGUUGUAUUUAACCCAAUAUAUUGAAAGCAUUAUUUCAACAUGAUGCUAAAAAUCAUCAGUGAUAUUUUUACAUUCUUUUUUUAAGAAAACUAGGUCUUCAUAGUUCAGUGUGCAUUGUACACCUUUUAUUUAUGGCACAUCUUAAUUCAGUCUGGCCACAUUUCAAGAGCUCCAUAGCCCCACGUGGCGGCUAGCAGCUGCUGUAUUGGACAGUACAGUCCUACAGCUCCUCAUCUGUGACCUGUUUUGUGCUCUGGUUCUCAAACUCGACUGCACUGGAAUCAUCAGAGGAGCUUAAAGGAAUGCUACCUUGGUGGUCCCACCUCAAAUACUGACACAUCGGAGGUCUGAGUGCUGCUGGGGAAUCAGGAGUUCUAAAGGCUCUCCAGGUGAUUCUAGUUUAGGAAUUACUGUUCUAGCGCCUUUUUUUCUUGAGCCUCAUUAUCAGUCUGGGAACAGUUGGAUGGUGUUUUUUUCAGGAGCUGCUUUCUCCAAAUCAGAACUGGCAGGCUUGCACUGGGUCUAAACUCUGUCUCCAACUCUGCCUCCACCUCCCUCUCUCACACACACAUGUGUAGACACACACACCCCACCAAGGCCCUAGAAGCUUAGUCCAUGCACUGUAUGUUACCAGGUCAAUGCAGCUGUGGUCUCAGGGCAACCAGAUCAUACCAAAACAUCCCAAAGAUGAGCUCUCUUCAUUCUCAAAGACUUAAGUUACGACAAAAUCCUGGGACCAUGAAUAAGCCUGUGAAGAUAGAUGUAACACUCUGAUCAUGGGCUGGAAAGACUAAAGCCCCGGUGGAGGUCAGAAAAGCCCAGAUCCAUGUGACGCCUAUGAACGAGCGCCAGCCCAGCAGACCUCAGGACAGGCAUCCACAAGAAAGCUGGCUGUGCACUAGGACUCUAGAAGCCAGGUACAUUUCUCCCUAAAGUCCCUUUCAAAUUAACCAAUAACUCCAAGUGAUACUUUUAUUUUUACUUUUAUCUUUUGAGACAAGGUCUCGCUCUGUCGCCUAGGCUGGUGUGUAGUGGAGCAAUCAUGGCUCACUGCAGCCUCAACCUCCUGGGCCCAAGCUAUCCUCCCACCUCAGCCCUCUGAGUAGCUGUGACUACAAGCGCGUGCCACCGUGCCUGGCUAAUUUUUAAUUUUUUUUUGUAGAGACAGGGUCUCUCUGUAUUGCCCAAACUGGUCUCAAACUCCUGGCCUCAAGCAAUCCUCCUGCCUCAGCCUCCAAAGUGCUGUUAUUACAAGCAUGAGCCACUGUGCCCAGCUUAGUUGGUACUAUUGAUACCCUAUGUCAGACAUUACUUCUUUAAAGAACAAUCAGCUGUUAAAUACAAAACAAAACAAACUUUAUUCUGGAAAUAAAGUCUUAAAAACAAAUUUCCCAAGUCAGAUUCAUUCUCUCCAACCCAAUAGUUUUUUGAGUACCUAUUCUGUCAUUCAUCAUGUUUGGUUUUUACAAAGGAAGAAAGGUAGACUUUUUGUUAGGAAGCACAGGUGCCAGAAGGGGAUUCAAGGUUUAUUCACAAAUGUUUGAUAAGUAUCUGCCCUGUGCCAGGUUCUGUGCUGAGUGCUGAGAACAGAGUGAUAAAGAGGACAUAGUUUCUGCCCUUCCGAAGCUUAAAUUGUGCCUCUAUUGGGUAUAGCACUUGGCUGGAGUGUCUCUCCAGAAUGCUUGCCCUGAGUAGGUUGGGGGCGGGGGGGCGGGUAUACUUCUUGCUGAUAUCCCCUUGUAUAUGCAGUUUCUAGCUGAGGACAGCUUUUUGUCAUUAAGAACUCCUGCUGGAGGUCAGUCAGGUAAUUGCUGCUAGUAGAAAUGAUCUCCUGCUAGCAAUUAUCAACAAUGAAAAUGUUGAUUAAAUAAUGGGUCUUCUAACUUCUUAUCUGAAAAGUUAUUUUUCUUUAAUGGCAUCAGUAAAGGGAUAAUGAGUUAUCAUGUGCCUCUUGUUAGGAUGCCUAAGGACUCAACUGAUCUUCAAUGAGAUUCCUGAAACUAACAAGAAAACAUUAGAGGAAAUAAAAAAGAGGGACACUAUAAAAACUUACUGGCUUAUACUCUCCAAAAUUGUCAAGGCCAUGAAGACAAAACCAAGAAAUUGUUCCUGAUUAAAGGAGACUAAAGACUAGAGACCUAACAACUAAAUUAAUUGGAGAUUCUGGAUUGGAUCCAGGACCUAGACAAAAAAUUGUUUUUCUUUUGCUACAAAGGACAUUAAUGGUACAACUGAUAGAUUUGAAUAAGUUCUGUAGAUUAUAGUAUCAUAGCAGUGUAAAUUUCUGAUUUUGAUAAUUAUAUAAUUUCAUAUGAGACUAAAUUUUCUGAUUUU